CAUGACUCCAAAAGAUGCAUUCAUUGUCACAUGCUGCACUUUGAUGCAAAUAUGAAUGAUUCUGUUGAAAACCAUCUGAAUAUAGAAGCCAAUUGGAUUCUCUGGGACUCAGGAUCUGAACUCUGGUUGGGUUUGUGCUGUUUUCUGAGCAAGAACAAAAGGGGAAAUCCUCACCCUGGAAUCUAAAUCUUUUACCUUCACAGAACCACAGGCAUUGUUCCUGUUAUUGUUGGACGAGAUGACUCAUGGGCAGUUUCAGCCUUAAAAUUUACUAGCAUAAAAAUUCAUGCAAACAU
Molecule: long non-coding RNA, 296 nt
Filed under: Equus caballus (horse)
Lineage: Eukaryota; Metazoa; Chordata; Mammalia; Perissodactyla; Equidae
Description: lncRNA (ENSECAG00000051555.1)
Source: RNAcentral